This 485-nucleotide ribosomal RNA is filed under the name uncultured bacterium. RNAcentral's name for it is "bacterial SSU rRNA". It matches the Rfam family "Bacterial small subunit ribosomal RNA", at positions 34 to 507 of the family's 1533-position model. The record is from RNAcentral.
CGCUGGCGGCGUUGGAUUAGGCAUGCAAGUCGAACGGUAUCAUUCCGUUUCGGGGGUGAGAGAGUGGCGAACUGGUGAGUAACACGUAGGUUAUCUACCCUCAAGGACGGGGACAACCCAGGGAAACUUGGGCUAAUACCGGAUGUGAGCAACUUUUAGUUGUUUGAAAGGUGGCGUAAGCUGUCGCUUGGGGAUGAGCCUGCGUCCUAUUAGUUAGUUGGUGAGGUAACGGCUCACCUAGGCAAUGAUAGGUAGGCGGCCUUAACGGGUGGUCGCCCACACUGGGAUUGAGAUACGGCCCAGACUCCUACGGGAGGCAGCAGUCGAGAAUAGUCUACAAUGGUCGGAAGACUGAUAGUGCGACGCCGCGUGAACGAUGAAUCCCUUCGGGGUGUAAAGUUCUUUUAUAUGUGAGCAGUGCUUCUUAUAUUAACAGUAUGGGGAGAGAGAUAUUAGCAUAUGAAUAAGCAACGGCUAACUCCGUG